CCUACGGGGGGCUGCAGUGGGGAAUUUUGCACAAUGGGGGAAACCCUGAUGUAGCGACACCGCGUGAACGAAGAAGCCUUUUGGGGUGUAAAGUUCUGUCGGCUGGAACGAAAAAAAUGACGGUACCAGCAAAGGAAGCAUCGGCUAACUACGUGCCAGCAGCCGCGGUAAGACGUAGGAUGCAAGCGUUGUCCGGAUUUAUUGGGCGUAAAGAGUUCGUAGGCGGUUAUUUAAGUCUGAUGUUAAAUACUGUGGCCCAACCACAGAACUGCAUUGGAUACUGGAUGACUUGAGUGCGGUAGAGGCAAGUGGAAUUCCCAGUGUAGCGGUGAAAUGCGUAGAUAUUGGGAAGAACACCAGUGGCGUAAGCGACUUGCUGGCCCGUAACUGACGCUGAGGAACGAAAGCCAGGGGAGCGAAUGGGCUUAGAUACCCCAGUAGUC
RNAcentral lists this ribosomal RNA (443 nucleotides) under uncultured bacterium. RNAcentral's name for it is "bacterial SSU rRNA". It matches the Rfam family "Bacterial small subunit ribosomal RNA", at positions 338 to 795 of the family's 1533-position model. The record is from RNAcentral.